GUUUUGAUGCUUUUCAUGUCUUUGGGCAGUUUGCUGUGUUUAUUUUGGGGGGAAGGUCAGCACUCCCAGCUGAUGCUGGGAGAAUGCUCUGGGAGAGAAGCAUCCCUGGAGACAGCCCUCCUUCCAGCAGCACAUGGCAAAACUCUGAGACUUCCCUUUCAGUGGGAGGCACAGGAGAUAUUUUGGACUGCAAGCUGUGGCUUUAAAAAAACACACCCAGUAGUGAUUUGAGGUUUUCUUCUUGAAGCCUUCCUGACUUUGAACAUAAAUUGCAUCUGUUUUGGUAAGCAGGCUACCAGCAAGCCAGACCUGUUCCUGGGAUUACUGUGACCACAGGUAUAGCUGUUUCUUUUCCAUAUGGGAUGACUUAGGCCCCUGUUCCCUGCCGGUGUGUGGUUGGAUUUUACCUUCCUCCACAUCGUGGCAUUUUGGAAAGAGGGGCUUGUUUUACAGAGCAGCUGUGUUGUCUUAAUGCAGCUGUAACGUGUGUUUGUCUCGGAGCACAGCAGGACUAGGAAGAGGUUUUAUUAGAUCAUUCCCAGGUCCCAAUAAUCUCUGAGGCUCUCAGAUCUGUGCUGCUCUCGCUCCGUAGGACAGGGCUGGAAGCUGAAGAUGGGAAAUCACUUGUGUGUGAUCCUUUAUCUGCUUCAUCUCACAGCUGCUGCUCCCCUCCUGGCUGUUUGUAGCAGCCAGAGAGGACCUAGUUCUUGUAUCCCAGACCUUCAACCACAGCCUAACAGCCUCCAAGGGAUCCUCCCUGCUUGGGCUGGUGUUUGUGGCACUGCUGGUGGCUCUGCAGCCUGGAUCCCAAGGAGCGUUCCCAUCCCAUCACCACUGACUGCCAGCAUCGGGAUCACGGCCACCCAGGGAGUUGGACAUGAUGGAGCUGGACACACACCAGGGUUCCCUCUGCUCCACCAAGUUGCCUGGGGUCUGCCAGGAUGCCAGUCACAGUCAGGCACAGAUCCAUCCUCUGGAGUGCCCCAGCUGAACAGGAGGAGCAGUGGGGAGGCAGCAGAUUCCUUUGGGAUCGCUGGGAUUUGGCUCAGCCCCGCGUGGCGGUGCCAGCCCAGCUGCACAGAGGCUGCAUCUGCAGGGAUCUCACAUCUGGAAUAACCUGGCUCAGGAAUCAGGCAGGUUUAAUUGUCCUGGCUCCCUUCCUUCCCAGGCACAGCCCUGACUCUUCCUGGCUUUGUGGGGAAGAUGCUCCCACCUUUCUUUGGGAGCCCCUUCCACGGAGACCAGCACAAAUCCAGCCCAUUUUGCCACGGAUCUCUUUUCUUCCCAAGCUUGCUCCAGCUGUGAGCAGCUGCAGUGCUG
Molecule: long non-coding RNA, 1320 nt
Filed under: Lonchura striata (white-rumped munia)
Lineage: Eukaryota; Metazoa; Chordata; Aves; Passeriformes; Estrildidae
Description: domestica (Bengalese finch) lncRNA (ENSLSDG00000012404.1)
Source: RNAcentral